UGUCUGAACUGGCUAUUGGCCACCAUACUUCUAUUAUGAAAAUCUAACUCCAAAAGGUAUUUGGAAAACUAUUUCAAGAUUUUUUUUAUGAUGUUCCGCCAGAGUUUGUGGACUCGAAGUUCUUCUGUUCUCUGUUCUCUGGUAUUGGAGGAGCGAAGGUAUUACAUCUAUUGCCGGUCCAUUUGCAUCGUAUUACGUGAAAAAUUGGACAUAAAGCUUCGUAUUAGAUAAAGAACUUGAUCAAUUUUAGGUAGAGGAAAGAUAGAGUAAAUGUGUUUAUAAUAUUUAAUCCUCGUUCUAAAAGAUCAACAAGUACUCUAUUUUGUAACAUAAAACUCAUUCUAAAAAACUCUCCAUUCUACUCACUCUAAAAAACUCUCCAUUCUCCUCGUUCUAAAAGAUCAACAAGCUAGUACUCCAUUUGUAACAUAAAACUCAUUUAAAAAACUUCCCAUUCACCUCACUCGAAAAAACUCUCCAUUCUCCUCGUUCUAAAAGAUCAACAAGGUAGUACUCCAUUUGUAACAUAAAACUCAUUUAAAAAACUCCCCAUUCACCUCACUCUAAAAAACUCUCCAUUCUUCUCGUUCUAAAAGAUCAACAAGUACUCCAUUUGUAACAUAAAACUCAUUCUAAAAAACUCUCCAUUCUCCUCAUUCUAAAAGAUCAACAAGCCAGUACUCCAUUUGUAACAUAAAACUCAUUCUAAAAAACUCUCCAUUCUCCUCAUUCUAAUAAAGCAACAAGUACUCCAUUUGUAUCAUAAAACUAGCUCAUUCAAAAAAACCUAGAAUACUAUGACCAGAGGAGGGAGAAUGAAGUCGCUAACCGGUCUAGCGAAGAAGCUGGUCGAGUGAAGAAAAACGAAGCCCAAGCAAAUGGUUGAGC
Molecule: long non-coding RNA, 888 nt
Filed under: Setaria italica (foxtail millet)
Lineage: Eukaryota; Viridiplantae; Streptophyta; Magnoliopsida; Poales; Poaceae
Description: long non-coding RNA (SITA_LNC004417)
Source: RNAcentral